UACGUAGGGGGCAAGCGUUAUCCGGAUUUACUGGGUGUAAAGGGAGCGUAGACGGCUGUGCAAGUCUGAAGUGAAAGCCCGUGGCUCAACCGCGGAACUGCUUUUGGAACUACAUGGCUUGAUUGCAGGAGAGGCAAGUGGAAUUCCUAGUGUAGCGGUGAAAUGCGUAGAUAUUAGGAGGAACACCAGUGGCGAAGGCGGCUUACUGGACGAUGACUGACGCUGAGGCUCGAAAGCGUGGGGAGCAAACAGG
This 253-nucleotide ribosomal RNA is filed under the name uncultured Lachnospiraceae bacterium. Its description in RNAcentral is "partial 16S ribosomal RNA". It matches the Rfam family "Bacterial small subunit ribosomal RNA", at positions 524 to 776 of the family's 1533-position model. The record is from RNAcentral. Lineage: Bacteria; Bacillati; Bacillota; Clostridia; Lachnospirales; Lachnospiraceae.